Molecule: ribosomal RNA, 301 nt
Filed under: uncultured bacterium
Lineage: Bacteria
Description: partial 16S ribosomal RNA
Rfam family: Bacterial small subunit ribosomal RNA
Source: RNAcentral
CAGUCGCCGCGGGAAUACAGAGGGUGCGAGCGUUAAUCGGAUUUACUGGGCGUAAAGCGUGCGUAGGCGGCUUUUUAAGUCGGAUGUGAAAUCCCUGAGCUUAACUUAGGAAUUGCAUUCGAUACUGGGAAGCUAGAGUAUGGGAGAGGAUGGUAGAAUUCCAGGUGUAGCGGUGAAAUGCGUAGAGAUCUGGAGGAAUACCGAUGGCGAAGGCAGCCAUCUGGCCUAAUACUGACGCUGAGGUACGAAAGCAUGGGGAGCAAACAGGAUUAGAGACCCGAGUAGUCCCUGUCUCUUAUAA